UGUGGUACCCGGCUGACUUAAGCAUAUCAAUAAGCGGAGGAAAAGAAACCAACAGGGAUUGCCCUAGUAACGGCGAGUGAAGCGGCAACAGCUCAAAUUUGAAAUCUGGCUCUUUCAGAGUCCGAGUUGUAAUUUGCAGAGGGCGCUUUGGGCGUUGGCAGCGGUCCAAGUUCUUUGGAACAGGACGUCACAGAGGGUGAGAAUCCCGUACGUGGUCGCUAACCUUCGCCGUGUAAAGCCCCUUCGACGAGUCGAGUUGUUUGGGAAUGCAGCUCUAAAUGGGAGGUAAAUUUCUUCUAAAGCUAAAUACUGGCCAGAGACCGAUAGCGCACAAGUAGAGUGAUCGAAAGAUGAAAAGCACUUUGGAAAGAGAGUCAAAUAGCACGUGAAAUUGUUGAAAGGGAAGCGCUUGCAGCCAGACUUGCCUGUAGUUGCUUAUCUGGACUUUUGUCCGGUGCACUCUUCUGCGGGCAGGCCAGCAUCAGUUUGGGCGGUUGGAUAAAGGUCUCUGUCAUGUACCUCUCUUCGGGGAGGCCUUAUAGGGGAGACGACAUGCAACCAGCCUGGACUGAGGUCCGCGCAUUUGCUAGGAUGCUGGCGUAAUGGCUGUAAGCGGCCCGUCUUGAAACACGGACCAAGGAGUCUAACAUCUAUGCGAGUGUUUGGGUGUCAAGCCCGGACGCGUAAUGAAAGUGAACGGAGGUGGGAACCCUUUGGGUGCACCAUCGACCGAUCCUGAUGUCUUCGGAUGGAUUUGAGUAAGAGCAUGGCUGUUGGGACCCGAAAGAUGGUGAACUAUGCUUGAAUAGGGUGAAGCCAGAGGAAACUCUGGUGGAGGCUCGCAGCGGUUCUGACGUGCAAAUCGAUCGUCAAAUUUGGGCAUAGGGGCGAAAGACUAAUCGAACUAGCAACGCGUG
This 917-nucleotide ribosomal RNA is filed under the name Leptospora sp. DNW-2018a. RNAcentral describes it as "partial large subunit ribosomal RNA". It matches the Rfam family "Eukaryotic large subunit ribosomal RNA", at positions 22 to 953 of the family's 3401-position model. The record is from RNAcentral. Lineage: Eukaryota; Fungi; Ascomycota; Dothideomycetes.